UACGGAGGAUGCGAGCGUUAUCCGGAUUUAUUGGGUUUAAAGGGUGCGUAGGCGGAUCGUUAAGUCAGUGGUCAAAUUGAGGGGCUCAACCCCUUCCCGCCAUUGAAACUGGCGAUCUUGAGUGGAAGAGAAGUAUGCGGAAUGCGUGGUGUAGCGGUGAAAUGCAUAGAUAUCACGCAGAACCCCGUUUGCGAAGGCAGCAUGCCGGCUUCCUACUGACGCUGAAGCACGAAAGCGUGGGGAUCGAACAGG
Molecule: ribosomal RNA, 252 nt
Filed under: uncultured bacterium
Lineage: Bacteria
Description: partial 16S ribosomal RNA
Rfam family: Bacterial small subunit ribosomal RNA
Source: RNAcentral